This is a long non-coding RNA of Gopherus flavomarginatus (Mexican gopher tortoise), 362 nucleotides long. RefSeq lists it as uncharacterized. The transcript has 3 exons. Lineage: Eukaryota; Metazoa; Chordata; Testudines; Testudinidae. The record is from RefSeq and is a predicted model, not a curated record.
AGGGCAAAACCUUUUUUUAAAAACAGGUUUAAACCUAUAAAUAGAGGAACAAAAAAACUUAACAAGACUGUUAAAGAAAUAUUGCUAAUACAAGACUUUGACCGUUAUGGGGAGCAACCACAUGGUAAGAAACCUUACUAUAAUUUGCGUGGGUCGUCAAGGUAUUAUACUAGCGUUAUGCUCACUUAAAAGGCAAUAUUUUUUCUUUUAAAUAGGACGAGGCCUUUUUUCUUGACAUUCCAGAUGCCGCGCUACAAGCUUUAAACUUUGAACAAGAUGGAAGUCAAAACCACCCAAUAGUUUUCCUGAAAUUACAGAAGAAGACUCAUCAAGCGUUAUUCCUCAAGAAGAAAUGUUGAAGG